Long non-coding RNA from Apodemus sylvaticus (European woodmouse), 3624 nucleotides. RefSeq lists it as uncharacterized. The record is from RefSeq and is a predicted model, not a curated record. NCBI's taxonomy places the organism in Eukaryota, Metazoa, Chordata, Mammalia, Rodentia, Muridae. The transcript has 2 exons.
UUUGCGGGAGACGCGGUGCGCGGCGCCGGGAGAGGGGCGUCGUUCUUGGGGCCCUGGAGCUGCGAGUGCGGGGCUGGAGCGCCGACUACGAGGCUCCUUCACGGUGUUCCAAGUGGAAUUUCGAACGGAAGAGAGUCAUGAAGCGCUGGGUACCUUGACUCCCAGCAUGCCCCAUGCAGAUGGCGCCUCCGCGGGGGCUGCUGGGAACCGGGAAGGCGACCCCGGUCCGUUGGAGGCGAGUGGGUGGGGCCGCUGACUCGGCUUUUGGCUCGCCUAGGGCGUCUAGUCUGCCUUGGGAAAGAAAAGGGUUUUGCAGGCUGCCUUGGAGCCUGGCUAUCCGGAAGGAGAGACCGCUCUUUGGGAGAGCUGCAGGGCGUGUCCGUCUGGUCUGCUGGGGAUUCCUUCCGCCCUCUGCGGUCGCACGCUCUGUUCUGCCUGCUGUUCCAAGGCUGCCUCCUGCCCAGCAGAAGGAAACACACCUCGCUCAAAAGCAAAGGAGUUCCAGUGAAAAUCUGUGCCAGGCACAAGUAAUCAAGGGUAGAAACGAAAUGUCUGCUCCAACAGCGUGGAAUUCGCGUGCUGUAUCUACGGUGUGGUUCAUUUCAAACUCAAACCAAAUCUGUUUGCCACAUUCUCGUGGACUAGUUUUAGCUUCAUCACUUAGGAGAGCAUGUACCUAAUGAGAAAAAUGCCAGGCAAAUUGCUGACAGCUAUUCAGCUCAUUGCCAGGGUAUCCAGGAACGGGAAGGGCAAACAAAACAAAUGGAUGUGCAGUAAAAAAACAAACAAAAAAACAAAAAAACUAUAUUGUGUCUUAUGGUGCUGCUUGAAUUUAAAUCUCUAGGAAGCUCCACGCGAAACAAAGCACAUAUUGAUACUUCUGCCACGAAAGUAAAUGUCUGGAAAUGGGCAGUCUAGAAUAGACUGCCUGGAAAGUAAAUGUCGAAAAUGGGCAGUCUAGAAUACAGCUUAUUAAACUUUUUCAACUCGCUGCCCCAACACCUGAGAAAUUUUUAUGCCACUCUGGGUAUAUAGGUAUAAAACAAACAUUGACUGAUCGUUAAAAAAAAAAGAAAAAAGUUUGUUUUCCUUCUUUGAAUGCUACUUUGUAUCCUAACCUAAAAAUGAAGUUUGAAAAAAAAGCAAGCAGACCAAAAAUCUUAUCCAUUUAAGACAAAAGCAAGCUUGUAUACAAAUGAGAUAGAUUUGCUUGUUCAUUUCUACAUAAAAAUUAUCUAUGCUGCUAAACACAACAUUGUCAACUUUUUUUGUAGUUGAUUGCUGUUUUGAUUUUAUAAUUACUAAUCCUGAGAAUCAUGUUAUAUAAAUACCUAGUGCAAAGUGGCAAAAAAAAAAAAAAAGUUUGGAAGCAUUCCAAAAAUAGUUGGAAAUUCUAUCCCAAUCACCAGACAUUUUUUGAGUGAUUUUUUUUUAAUUAAAAUCAAGUCAGUAACCCAAACUGCAAUUUUUAAAGUAAAAAAAUUCUAAUACAAUACAAUCCAAAGAUGUAUAAAUUUGACUCGUGCUAAGAAACAAUUGUAGGAAAAUACUAUCUUGUUUCCUUAAUUAAGGCUUUAUGUCUUUUAAAAGUAGCAGUCUAGCAGCAGGAAAGAUGGCUCAGCGGUUAAAAGCACAUACUGCUCUUGCAGAAGACUUGAAUUUUGUUCCCAGCAUCCAUGGCAGGCUGUUCACAUCUGCCUGUAACUCUGAUUUCAGGGACAGCCAAUGCCUUCGGCCUCUUGAGGGCACUUGUACUCAUGUGCACAGACCCUAACAAGUAUACAUAAUGAAAAGUAAUCUCUUAAAAGACUAGAAAACUGUACAGUAAGAAAGCAUUGCAGUUCAUAACCCCGAGAUCUCACAUCUGAGCCAAGGUGUUUGGGGCAGCAUCAGUAGGCUUCUGCGUGUGGCGAGACAAAGUGCACACACCGUGUUCAGAACCCAGGCUACAGUGAUAACCCACAGUGCAGCGCAGUGAGCCCCCACACGACACAAAUCUUUGCACUCACCACUCAUUUGAUUUGGAUUUAUAUUUGAUUGUUGCACAUCCAGAAACAGUUUUGCUGUUGUCAAGCUUUUCCCAAUCCCACAGUCAGUCACGUGAGCCUUUAGGGACAUACAACCCACAGUUUAAGAAAUUGAUGGUCUAGACAGAGUCCGCACACUACCCUACCCCAUCCCAGAAGAGCUCUCAGAAGGCAGACCUAUGGCACAGAUCUUCAGUCAUGAAGAGCCUGGUAAGAUGGAAAUGUUUAAACUGUUUUCAAAACAAAUGCUAAUUUACUUUUACCUUGUAUUCUUUUAGCCACAAAAAUUAUUUUGAAAUGGACAUUUUGAAGAAUACAAAAUAUAUACAGUUUGAAAGACAGCUUGUGGGUUUAAUUUAGUUUUUUAAAAACUUGUGUUUGAUAACCAGUCCAUUGGAUAGUGUUGCACAUCUAUUCUGAAUUGAAAAUUCAAGAGUCUGACAAUCUAGCGUUUGCCUAAGAACUGUUCUGUGGACAAGCUCCUUGGCUAAACAACCACUUCACAGCUGGGCAGAUGCCUCUUACUAAAAUGCGCAGGCAUCCUCAUUGUAGUCAGCCAGUCUACAGGAGAGAAUGGAGAAGCUCCCAGCAACAUGCAAAGAGACUGCUUAUCCACUCACCAUGAUUUCAUGUGAACCCUGAGCUGGUUCCAGGGCGAUAAUCCGUGAUGGAAGAGUAGAGGCGUGGUGGCUAUGGCUGGAAGCUGAGGGCAUACAUCUGAACUGCGAGCAGGGAGCAGAGAGCAAACUCUAGAUGUCACAAUGUCCCUUACUCUUCCCUGCAAUGACAUACUCCUCAACCCAAAUGGCAACACGGCUCUUGACUAAACAUUCAAACGCCUAAGACCAUUGAGGACCUCUUAAUCAAACCAUCUUGAUAUUUCAACCAAUGAGCUAUGUUCUGUCUCCUCCGGUUAUUUUCCUGCUGGAACGAGAACACAAGAACUCAAAACACAUGUUUUAGUUUCCUGGCUGUCAAGAGGCAAUUAACUGUUGCAAGGUCAGCAAGACCUAUGACCACAGAAAUAAUGACUAGUGCCUCCUGAUUGAGGAUCAAAGGCAUGUCCCAUUCCAGAGCAAUGGGACAGGUGCCCCAUGGGUUAUCUUGGUCUUGUCCCAGAGAGCCUACGUAGAUCCUGCCCCUCCAGCUCUCCCCAAAAAGACUAUGAGCACCCAAUUCCUAUCAUUAUGUUCCCUCCUGGUUAUACUCUCUGAAUGGUACAGAGACUACGUCAUGAUGGACAGGACUUGGGAACAUUCACUUGCAGAGUGGCAGGGCUCCUGACGGUGGACUGAGAAGAUGCAGCCUUUAUGGAGAUGGUAACCACCUGAGACAAGCCCAGAAGGAUCCCAGGAACACACUGUGUGACAGCCCAUUUGUGCCUGGUGCUUAUUGUAGUAUGUUUGGGAGAAACACAGAUUCAGAAAAAGCAAACUGAAACCUCACCACAAAAUACAAAAUUAGUCAUCAAGACUGAAAAGGAGCUUGGGAACAACAACAACAACAAAAAUACCCUGAAGACAUUUCUCUGUGUGACCAGGUGAACUAGAGUAAUAAUCUUAAAAAAAAAAAAAAAAAAAAAAAAAAAAAAAACAAA